AAGUCGAGCGAGAAAGCCCGCAAGGGUGAGUAAAGCGGCGCACGGGUGCGUAACACGUGGGUAAUCUGCCCUAGAGUCCGGAAUAACUCGCCGAAAGGCGUGCUAAUGCCGGAUGAGACCACGGGAGCUUCGGUUCCUGGGGGAAAAGGUGGCCUCUGUACACAAGCUAUCGCUCUAGGAUGAGCCCGCGGCCCAUCAGCUCGUUGGCGGGGUAACGGCCCACCAAGGCAACGACGGGUAGCUGGUCUGAGAGGACGAUCAGCCACACUGGAACUGAGACACGGUCCAGACUCCUACGGGAGGCAGCAGUGGGGAAUCUUGCGCAAUGGGCGAAAGCCUGACGCAGCAACGCCGCGUGUGUGAUGAAGGUCUUCGGAUCGUAAAGCACUGUCGCGAGGGACGAAUAAGGGGCGGGCGAACAGUCCGUUUCGAUGACGGUACCUCGAGAGGAAGCACCGGCUAACUCUGUGCCAGCAGCCGCGGUAAUACAGAGGGUGCAAGCGUUGUUCGGAAUUAUUGGGCGUAAAGCGCGUGUAGGCGGCCUAGCAAGUCGGAUGUG
RNAcentral lists this ribosomal RNA (559 nucleotides) under uncultured bacterium. RNAcentral's name for it is "bacterial SSU rRNA". It matches the Rfam family "Bacterial small subunit ribosomal RNA", at positions 59 to 596 of the family's 1533-position model. The record is from RNAcentral.